Non-coding RNA from Pelodiscus sinensis (Chinese soft-shelled turtle), 576 nucleotides. NCBI's taxonomy places the organism in Eukaryota, Metazoa, Chordata, Testudines, Trionychidae. The record is from RefSeq and is a predicted model, not a curated record.
GUUUCCAGCAGCACCUUGUUGAAACUGUCUCAUCAUUGACUGCAAUCCUGCCAUGCCACCUAGAGAAGAAAGAUCAAUAAGAAUAGAGUAGUUAAGUAGCCUGUUUACCAUGACAAGAAAAAAAAAAAAGAAUUGUUAUGUAUUUGAAGGAACAGUACUUUGAGGUACCUUUUUGAGCAAUUUGUAGAAAAGCUCAACUGAUAUAGACCUGGACCAAGUUCAACCCUAUAUUCUUCCAUCACUGUACAUACAGUAGCAAGUUAGGAAAGUUCUGAGAAUCCACUCAACGUACAAUUCGGAAAAGUGAUCCACGUUUUUCCUUUAUAGAACUGCCUUCUUAUUGUGACCCUCCUAUCACUGUUAAUAUUUGGGGGAUAGAGAUUAAAUGCUUACUACAAUUUCUGAAGAUCAAAAAAAUGAGAUGUACAUAUUUUCCUGAAGGUCUAAAUGCAUCAACAGCCUAAUCAUUUAUAAUGGCUCUGUUCUUAUUAAAAUCUGUGACAGCUCACUGAUCCCAAUGUAUCUUUUCCAAAUAUGUAACAUUAGAAUGAGUUGAACUGUUUCCAAAACCAAAAG